RNAcentral lists this ribosomal RNA (207 nucleotides) under uncultured bacterium. Its description in RNAcentral is "partial 16S ribosomal RNA". It matches the Rfam family "Bacterial small subunit ribosomal RNA", at positions 568 to 774 of the family's 1533-position model. The record is from RNAcentral.
CGUGUAGACGGUUUUAUAAGUUACAGGUGAAAGCCCAUUUUUCAAGGAUGGAACUGCCUGUAAGACUGUAGGACUUGAGUGCAGGAGAGGGAAGCGGAAUUCCAAGUGUAGCGGUGAAAUGCGUAGAUAUUUGGAGGAACACCAGUGGCGAAGGCGGCUUUCUGGACUGCAACUGACGUUGAGGCGCGAAAGCGUGGGGAGCAAACA